RNAcentral lists this long non-coding RNA (922 nucleotides) under Sus scrofa (pig). RNAcentral's name for it is "lncRNA (ENSSSCG00040015422.1)". The record is from RNAcentral. Lineage: Eukaryota; Metazoa; Chordata; Mammalia; Artiodactyla; Suidae.
AUGAUCAUUCAGAGCUGCCCGAGGUUGGUCUUGGAAAUCCUGGUAUAUUUUCUCAUGCAACACAUUUCAACACACACCCCAAUACUUGGCAGCACCCAUGGCAGCACCUCCCUCCUUGGGCAGCCUCCAUCCACGGGCAGCACCCCCUCCACCUGGCUCACUGCACUCAUGCCUGCUGGCCAUUGGUUUUCAUCCUUGAAAUUGCUACGUUCUCUCCGGGCUGAGGUCCUUCAUGCACAGAGCAACCUCUGCCCGGCAAGCCCCUCUCCCCGCACACACCAGCCUCGUCACCACCUCCUGCUCUUUCCUCCCACCGCCCUCAGCAUAACUGACGAUUACAAGUGGACUUGUUUACUGAAGACCCAAAGGACAGGAAGCAGAGCACCCGUUAAUACACAGUUCACCAGACUGGAUAAAAACACAACCGAGCUAUAGGCUGUUCACAAGAGACACAGCUAAAAUACAAGGAAGAUCUAGCAAGUUCAAGAGGAAAGGAUUCAAAGAGCGCAUGCAAACACUAACCAAGAGAAAGCUAGUACUGCUCUAUUAAUAUUAGAUACUGUGUUUUAGGAUGAAAGCAGAAUCAGAACUAUCGUAGUUCAUAAUGAAAAGUUUAACAUACCAGAAAGAUGCAGUAAUUCUUUAUAUGCCCAAAGUAUAAAGCGGGUCGGACGAGAUUAAGAUGGCAGAGUCGAAGGACCAGAGCUCACCUUCUGUCAUAAAAGCAACAAAAUUACAACCAACUGCUGAACAACCUUCAACAAAACAGUCUGGAAACCAUCCAAAAAGAUGUCCUACUCCAGAAGACAAAGAGGAGGCCACACUGAGAUGGUAAGAGGGCCAUUCUGUGGUAUAAGCAACCCCAUGCCAGCCGGGUGGGCAGCCCACAGCCUAGAAAGGCACUGUAUCGCAGAGGCUCACC